CGGGGCGUGGCGCAGCCUGGUAGCGCACACGCAUGGGGCGCGUGUGGUCGCUGGUUCAAAUCCAGUCGCCCCGACCA
RNAcentral lists this transfer RNA (77 nucleotides) under Deferribacter abyssi. RNAcentral's name for it is "tRNA-Pro". It matches the Rfam family "tRNA". Rfam says of the family: Transfer RNA (tRNA) molecules are approximately 80 nucleotides in length. Their secondary structure includes four short double-helical elements and three loops (D, anti-codon, and T loops). Further hydrogen bonds mediate the characteristic L-shaped molecular structure. tRNAs have two regions of fundamental functional importance: the anti-codon, which is responsible for specific mRNA codon recognition, and the 3' end, to which the tRNAs corresponding amino acid is attached (by aminoacyl-tRNA synthetases). tRNAs cope with the degeneracy of the genetic code in two manners: having more than one tRNA (with a specific anti-codon) for a particular amino acid; and 'wobble' base-pairing, i.e. permitting non-standard base-pairing at the 3rd anti-codon position. The record is from RNAcentral. Lineage: Bacteria; Pseudomonadati; Deferribacterota; Deferribacteres; Deferribacterales; Deferribacteraceae. RNAcentral also lists the same sequence under 1 other name.